UUCUUAAAUAAACUUGCCCAUACGUUAAC
Molecule: small RNA, 29 nt
Filed under: Bombyx mori (domestic silkworm)
Lineage: Eukaryota; Metazoa; Arthropoda; Insecta; Lepidoptera; Bombycidae
Description: ovarian small RNA-37554
Source: RNAcentral